GUUCUUUUGCUCUUCUUGUCUUUCCUUUUUAGUGCAGGGGUCAUUUCUGCUGUCGUUACUGGCUUCCUUUCUUCAGCCUCACCAUGUCAGAUUUAGGCUGCUCCCUCCUCAUCAUCCCUGGAUCUCUGUUGGCCAUGCUGACAGGAAGGCAGAGGUCACCGUGGUGUGAAGUCGUCAGCCUGCUCAAGUUUGCCUUCAUCACCUCCUCCAUAGGGAGCUUAGCCAUCCUCUGUGUGCAACAGCUGAUUGGCAUGGCCUCCACAAGAAGUCCUGUCUUUGUUGUCAUGGCAGCAGCCUGCCUUUCUUCUUGGGUGACAGGGGUGGUGUUUGGGAGUGUCCCUGUUGUCUACACCUGGAUCAGGUACGACCCUGCAGAGAUGUUGUGUGCUGUCUUUUGGGAGAACAGUUACUCAGAUAUGUUGGUCUAUAUUCUCUGCGCUUUCUCCAUUUGUAUCUUCCUCCCCUUCCUCCUCAUCGUCCUUUGCUCUCUACUGAUUGCCACUGGCUGCCGCUCAAGCUGCAACAGGGAUGGUGAAGCAGAUCUGUCUUCAGUCAGUCCUAAGCUGGUGGCCUUCUACAUGCUCUGCUACACUCCUUUUGUUGCGUCUGAGCUCAUCCUGCUGGGAAGGAUGGACCUGUCCCCGGCACCUCAUUGGUUAAGGACUCUUUCAUCAGUGAUGUCAUACUUGGACUGUAGUCUGAACCCUCUUAUUUACUGCUCCCAUCAAAACUUCCGGGAAGCGGGCCUCGCUCUGCUUUGGACCAGAAAGAAACCAUCGACAGAGCCUGUCCUCACUUCUAUCACUAGACAUGACGUGUAAAUAUGUGACGGGUUCAACGUGUAUUCCCCACAAAUAUCAAGAACACAUUUCAUAAACAGCAGCAUUUAUUUGAGGUCAGUGUCAUUAGUAUGUUUUUUUCUCCUACUUUGUUAUUCUUAUAAUAUACAAUAUCAAGUAAUUA
Gasterosteus aculeatus aculeatus (three-spined stickleback) is the source of this 963-nucleotide long non-coding RNA. The record is from Ensembl. Lineage: Eukaryota; Metazoa; Chordata; Actinopteri; Perciformes; Gasterosteidae.